UCCGGUUGAUCCUGCCGGACCCCACUGCUAUCGGGAUAGGACUAAGACAUGCUAGUCGAGCGCUCUUCAGCCAUGAUAAGAGCGCGGCACACAGCUCAGUAACACGUGGCUAACCUGCCCUCGGGACGGGAACACCCCCGGGAAACUGGGGCUAAUUCCCGAUAGGUGAAGAACUCUGGAAUGAGUCUCCACCCAAAAGACGUUCAGGUCAUGCUCCUGAAUGCCGCCCAAGGAUGGGGCCGCGACCGAUCAGGUUGUUGGUGAGGUAACGGCCCACCAAGCCUUUUACCGGUGCGGGCCGUGGGAGCGGGAGCCCGGAGAUGGGCACUGAGACAAGGGCCCAGGCCCUACGGGGCGCAGCAGUCGCGAAAACUUUGCAAUAAGCGAAAGCUUGACAGGGCUAUCCCGAGUGCCAUCCGCUGAGGAAGGCUUUUACCCAGUCUAGAACGCUGGGAGAAUAAGGAGAGGGCAAGUCUGGUGUCAGCCGCCGCGGUAAUACCAGCUCUCCGAGUGGUGUGGAUGUUUAUUGGGCCUAAAGCAUCCGUAGCUGGCCAGGCAAGUCCCCUGUUAAAUCCACCGAAUCAAUCGUUGGAUUGCGGGGGAUACUGCCCGGCUAGGGGACGAGAGAGGCCGAC
RNAcentral lists this ribosomal RNA (635 nucleotides) under uncultured Thermoprotei archaeon. RNAcentral describes it as "bacterial SSU rRNA". It matches the Rfam family "Archaeal small subunit ribosomal RNA", at positions 1 to 613 of the family's 1478-position model. Lineage: Archaea; Thermoproteati; Thermoproteota; Thermoprotei. The record is from RNAcentral.